AUUGAACGCUGGCGGCAGGCCUAACACAUGCCAGUCGAACGGUAACAGGAAGCAGCUUGCUGCUUUGCUGACGAGUGGCGGACGGGUGAGUAAUGUCUGGGAGACUGCCCGAUGUAGGGGGAUAACUCCUGGAAACGGUAGCUAAUAUCGCAUAACGUCGCAAGACCAAAGAGGGGGACCUUAGGGCCUCUUGCCAUCUGAUGUGCGCAGAUGGGAUUAGCUAGUAGGGGGGGUAACGGCUCACCUAGGCGACGAUCCCUAGCUGGUCUGAGAGGAUGACCAGCCACACUGGAACUGAGACACGGUCCAGACUCCUACGGGAGGCAGCAGUGGGGAAUAUUGCACAAUGGGCGCAAGCCUGAUGCAGCCAUGCCGCGUGUAUGAAGAAGGCCUUCGGGUUGUAAAGUACUUUCAGCGGGGAGGAAGGGAGUAAAGUUAAUACCUUUGCUCAUUGACGUUACCCGCAGAAGAAGCACCGGCUAACUCCGUG
Molecule: ribosomal RNA, 490 nt
Filed under: uncultured bacterium
Lineage: Bacteria
Description: partial 16S ribosomal RNA
Rfam family: Bacterial small subunit ribosomal RNA
Source: RNAcentral